CUACGGGAGGCAGCAGUGGGGAAUCUUAGACAAUGGGGGCAACCCUGAUCUAGCCAUGCCGCGUGAGUGACGAAGGCCCUAGGGUCGUAAAGCUCUUUCGCCAGGGAAGAUAAUGACGGUACCUGGUAAAGAAACCCCGGCUAACUCCGUGCCAGCAGCCGCGGUAAUACGGAGGGGGUUAGCGUUGUUCGGAAUUACUGGGCGUAAAGCGCGCGUAGGCGGACUUUUAAGUUAGAGGUGAAAUCCCAGGGCUCAACCCUGGAACUGCCUUUAAUACUGGAAGUCUUGAGUUCGAGAGAGGUGAGUGGAAUUCCGAGUGUAGAGGUGAAAUUCGUAGAUAUUCGGAGGAACACCAGUGGCGAAGGCGGCUCACUGGCUCGAUACUGACGCUGAGGUGCGAAAGUGUGGGGAGCAAACAGGAUUAGAUACCCUGGUAGUCCACACCGUAAACGAUGAAUGCCAGACGUCGGCAGGCAUGCCUGUCGGUGUCACACCUAACGGAUUAAGCAUUCCGCCUGGGGAGUACGGUCGCAAGGUUAAAACUCAAAU
This 549-nucleotide ribosomal RNA is filed under the name uncultured bacterium. RNAcentral describes it as "bacterial SSU rRNA". It matches the Rfam family "Bacterial small subunit ribosomal RNA", at positions 339 to 906 of the family's 1533-position model. The record is from RNAcentral.